RNAcentral lists this ribosomal RNA (451 nucleotides) under uncultured bacterium. Its description in RNAcentral is "partial 16S ribosomal RNA". It matches the Rfam family "Bacterial small subunit ribosomal RNA", at positions 330 to 795 of the family's 1533-position model. The record is from RNAcentral.
GCCAGACUCCUACGGGAGGCAGCAGUGGGGAAUAUUGGACAAUGGGGGGAACCCUGAUCCAGCGACGCCGCGUGAGUGAAGAAGUAUUUCGGUAUGUAAAGCUCUAUCAGCAGGGAAGAAAGAAAUGACGGUACCUGACUAAGAAGCCCCGGCUAACUACGUGCCAGCAGCCGCGGUAAUACGUAGGGGGCAAGCGUUAUCCGGAUUCACUGGGUGUAAAGGGAGCGUAGACGGCGACGCAAGUCUGGAGUGAAAGCCCGGGGCCCAACCCCGGGACUGCUCUGGAAACUGCGGCGCUGGAGUACGGGAGGGGCAGGCGGAAUUCCUGGUGUAGCGGUGAAAUGCGUAGAUAUCAGGAGGAACACCGGUGGCGAAGGCGGCCUGCUGGACUGCGACUGACGUUGAGGCCCGAAAGCGUGGGGAGCAAACAGGAUUAGAUACCCUGGUACCC